UGGGGUGACGGCGUGCCUAUCGAAAAAUGAGUCUGCGAGUCAGUGGUGCGUGGCGAGGCUAACCCGUGGUGGGGGAGCCGUAGCGAAGGCGAGUCUCAAAAGGCGUUUUGAGUCGCGCGCCCUGGACCCGAAGCGGGAUGAUCUAGCCCUGGGCAGGUUGAAGCGCGGGUAAGACCGCGUGGAGGACCGAACCCACCUGGGUUGAAAACCGGGGGGAUGACCUGGGGCUAGGGGUGAAAGGCCAAUCAAAUUCCGUGAUAGCUGGUUCUCUCCGAAAUGCAUUUAGGUGCAGCGUCGGUUGAUUGCAUCGCGGGGGUAGAGCUACUGGAUGCUUGCGGGCCCGUGUCGGGUACCAAUAGCAGCCAAACUCCGAAUACCGUGGAUGUGUAUUCCGGCAGUGAGUCGGCGGGGGAUAAGCUCCGUCGUCGAGAGGGAGACAGCCCAGAUCGUCGUCUAAGGUCCCGAAGCGUGUGCUAAGUGGGAAAGGAUGUGGAGUCGCAUAGACAGCCAGGAGGUUGGCUCAGAAGCAGCCAUCCUUGAAAGAGUGCGUAACAGCUCACUGGUCUAGUGGUUCCGCGCCGACAAUGUAGCGGGGCUCAAGCACACCACCGAAGACGCGGCAACGGUCGUAUGGCCGUUGGGUAGGAGAGCGUCCCGCGUGGGGCGAAGCGGCCGGGGAACCGUGCCGUGGACCGCGCGGGAGUGAGAAUGCAGACAUGAGUAGCGAGAGACGGGUGAGGAUCCCGUCCGCUGGAUGACCAAGGGUUCCGGGGCCACGUUCGUCGUCCCCGGGUGAGUCGGGUCCUAAGGCGAGGCCGACAGGCGUAGUCGAAUGGAUGAACGGGUGGAUAUUCCCGUACCGGCGGCGUACCGUAAGAGCCGAACGGAUGAGUACUAACCUCCGGUCGCGUGGCGUCGUUCCCUUCGGGGUUCGGGGUCCGCGGUCGUUGGGAGCGUAGUCCUGGUAGGCUAGCGCACAGGGGUGACACGGAAUGGGAGCCGGCCGCGGAGGUGGUUUUCCGUGGUCAAGCACGCAGCCCGUCCCAUAGGCAAAUCCGUGGGACGCAUAGGGUGAGGUGUGAUGAUGGGCGUCCUUUGGACGCGAUAUCCGGUGGUCCAGGCCGUCGAGAAAAGCCUCGGCGCGAGGGGCGUCGCCGCCCGUACCCCAAACCGACACUGGUGGUCAGGUAGAGAAUACCAAGGCGAUCGAGCGAAUCCUGGUCAAGGAACUCGGCAAAUCACUCCCGUGCCUUCGGUAUAAGGGAGACCCCCGGGCGUGAAGAGGCUUGCCCUCGGAGCGUUGGGGGGUGGCACAGACCAGGGGGUAGCGACUGUUUACCAAAAACACAGGUGCAUGCGAAGGCGCAAGCCGCUGUAUAUGCACUGACGCCUGCCCGGUGCCGGAAGGUUAAGAGGAUCCGUCAGCCCCUUUUGGGGUGAAGCGGUGAAUUCAAGCCCCGGUAAACGGCGGUGGUAACUAUAACCAUCCUAAGGUAGCGAAAUUCCUUGUCGGGUAAGUUCCGACCUGCACGAAUGGCGUAACGACUUCCCCACUGUCUCGACCAGGAGCUCGGCGAAAUUGCAGUACGAGUAAAGAUGCUCGUUAAGCGCAGAAGGACGAAAAGACCCCGGGACCUUUACUAUACCUUGGUAUUGGCGUUAGGCGCGGAUUGUGUAGCAUAGGCGGGAGGCUUCGAAGCGCGGGCGCCAGCCCGUGUGGAGCCGCAAGGUGAAAUACCGCUCUGUUCUCGUUUGACGUCUCACCUCGAACAGUCAUCCUGUUCAGGGACAGUGCCUGGCGGGUAGUUUAACUGGGGCGGUUGCCUCCCAAAGAGUAACGGAGGCGCUCAAAGGUCCGCUCAGCCCGGUUGGCAAUCGGGUUUCGAGUGUAAUCGCACAAGCGGGCUUGACUGCGAGAACGACGGUUCGGGCAGGGACGAAAGUCGGAGAUAGUGAUCCGGUGCCGGCGCACGGGCGCGGCAUCGCUCAACGGAUAAAAGGUACCCCGGGGAUAACAGGCUGAUCAUUCCCAAGAGUCCAUAUCGACGGGAUGGUUUGGCACCUCGAUGUCGGCUCGUCGCAUCCUGGGGCUGGAGCAGGUCCCAAGGGUUCGGCUGUUCGCCGAUUAAAGCGGCACGCGAGCUGGGUUCAGAACGUCGUGAGACAGUUUGGUCUCUAUCCUCUGCGCUCGUUGGAAUCCUGAGGAGGCCUGCCCAUAGUACGAGAGGACCUGGGUGGACGGACCUCUGGUAUGCCGGUUGUCGCGCCAGCGGCAUGGCCGGUUGGCUACGUUCGGGAGGGAUAACCGCUGAAAGCAUCUAAGCGGGAAGCCUGCUCCAAGAUUAGGAUUCCUUGACGCUCCCCGGAGCGUUUGU
This 2375-nucleotide ribosomal RNA is filed under the name Bifidobacterium pseudocatenulatum. RNAcentral's name for it is "bacterial LSU rRNA". It matches the Rfam family "Bacterial large subunit ribosomal RNA", at positions 589 to 2925 of the family's 2925-position model. Lineage: Bacteria; Bacillati; Actinomycetota; Actinomycetes; Bifidobacteriales; Bifidobacteriaceae. The record is from RNAcentral.